GAUGAACGCUGGCGGCGCGCCUAACACAUGCAAGUCGAACGGCACCCCUCUCCGGAGGGAAGCGAGUGGCGAACGGCUGAGUAACACGUGGAGAACCUGCCCCCUCCCCCGGGAUAGCCGCCCGAAAGGACGGGUAAUACCGGAUACCCCGGGGUGCCGCGUGGCACCCCGGCUAAAGCCCCGACGGGAGGGGAUGGCUCCGCGGCCCAUCAGGUAGACGGCGGGGUGACGGCCCACCGUGCCGACAACGGGUAGCCGGGUUGAGAGACCGACCGGCCAGAUUGGGACUGAGACACGGCCCAGACUCCUACGGGAGGCAGCAGUGGGGAAUCUUGCGCAAUGGGGGGAACCCUGACGCAGCGACGCCGCGUGCGGGACGGAGGCCUUCGGGUCGUAAACCGCUUUCAGCAGGGAAGAGUCAAGACUGUACCUGCAGAAGAAGCCC
Molecule: ribosomal RNA, 445 nt
Filed under: uncultured bacterium
Lineage: Bacteria
Description: bacterial SSU rRNA
Rfam family: Bacterial small subunit ribosomal RNA
Source: RNAcentral